Molecule: long non-coding RNA, 3077 nt
Organism: Notolabrus celidotus (New Zealand spotty)
Lineage: Eukaryota; Metazoa; Chordata; Actinopteri; Labriformes; Labridae
Exons: 5
Source: RefSeq, a predicted model, not a curated record
AUGAAGAAGCAUGAGGAUUAGCGCUCCCAUGAGAGGGUACACCUGUCAGCAAACUCAGACCAGGAUGUGACUUAUGUUCCAGAUAGCUUUUCCUCAUUUUCUGGGGGUGUCACUGGAGUGAUUUUCAGACUACUCAGCCAUGCCUUUUUACAGCGCUGCUGGAAUCGACAGCAGAUUAUUAAUAUGCUUCAGAGGGGGGGGGGAGUUUGUGUCUUUGUUUAUCCAUUUUUCCACUCCCACAUACUAGUCAGCAGAAUAAUAAGUGGAAGUGCAGAACUGGACCACUGUCUUACCAGCUAAUUAUGGGGCUCAUGUAGAUGGAUGAUUCCUCAGAUAGAGCUCAGCUAUUAUACAAACUCAUUAAGCAGCCUCUCCAUCCAGCAUCCCUUGCUAAAGGUCAAAGUCACAGGCACAAUGACAACACAAAGCACAAACACAUGCAUGCACAAGCAGACAUGCAGAAACACACAACUCUACAGCUAUAUAGUUUAUAAUCAUAUCCUAAUGGGCGCUGUGACUGCAAAGGGGAAAGGAAGGCAGCAGCUUAGUGCAAGAGAAUGACUCAGCCUUGGUCACUUGUGAGGUUGCUCAUAAUGAUCUCUCUCAUUCAGCUAAUCUGCUCUGUGUCCUAAUAGGCGGUUCAAGCUGGAGUGUGUCUCCUAGUCACUGUUUCACCCCCUUACAGCACCCAUUUCAAAUAAGAGAACAUGUAUAAAUAUAAAAAUGCAUAGUCUUAUAUAUCAUCUUCUUACAGUGAAAUAGUUUUUCCUCAGCUGUUUUAAAGGCCUUAUUUGAGUUUUUUUCUCUCUCUCUGUUUGCUGAGUCAAAGCAGGGCCACAACCUCCUCCACCACCUCUCCUCCAUCUGAUUCCUCCGGAUGCAGCAUCCUCAGCACCCUCUGCUCCCUCAAUCAGACUACAAUGAACAAUCGCAGCUCUUUGGGGAGUUGACACAUUCAGUUGUUCAUCGAUUUGUGGCGUUGUAAUUAAUUUUUCUCUCUGUCAUAGGCUUGAGUUACAAUAUCCUGAGACUUGAAGCAGCUCGUCCUGCUACUAUCAAUCAUAAAACCGAGACAGAACCAACACUUCUCUUGUAUCAUCUUGAAUUAUUCACCGCAGCUUUGAAAUAAAAGAGACCGGACUCAGUGACCGCAGAGAAGGUCCCAAGAGGAGGCAGCAGCAUCCCGGCACAGACUCGUGGAGAGGGAGGGAGAGAGAGGAGAGUCUGAUAGGAGAAGCUCAGCCAACACCGCUGGAUCUGACAGAGAGGGAGAAACACAUAGGCCAGCCACACCAAUAUUCUUCCUUUUACCUGUGUCUCAUCUCAUCACUCAACUUCACAAACAUGUCUGUAUGUGAGGUUGACGAAACACAACCAGCCCUUCUUGGAGUCCAAUAACAGGAGUAAGGCAAUUGUACGAAUAUGAUGAUCCACUCAGGGUGCUCCAGUGUAAGAAAACAAGCAAAUGAAGCUCUUCACCAUUUCACCUUCACAGAGAAACACACUGUGUGUCUGUUUUUACACAUCAUCCUUGAUGUCCCAGUAAAAAAAGAAAUAAAAGUCUAAUUCAUCCUAGGUAAUGUUGACUGGGAGCAAAGCAACACCUGAGACCCGGUGCAGUAAAAAGGCUCUAAAUCACCAGAUUCACCCGUCAGAGACAUUUCUCAGUCUAUUAAAACCAAUAUAUGCCACUUAGUGCUGAAGUUACAGCCCAUCUGUGUGGUAUUCCUGUUGCCUGCUUUAACUCUGCAACUCAUAAAUCACACCAAUACUGUUCACACUGUAAUGCAGCUGACAAGUUUUAGAGCGGAUUCAAACUUUAUUGUGGGUACUGCAAAUCACCAUGAUUCAUGUGGGUGACACUGAAAACAGUAUCUGGUGCAAUAGAUUGAGUGCAUAUUGUGCUAAAAGAGACUAUGUGCUUUGUGUAUACUUGUUGAUUAACACGUUUCAUUGUGUUGUUUUCUUUUGGUGAAUAUGUACUGGUACAACAGGAUAAUUCACAUAUUUCACAGCCAUGUGCGUAUUCAAUUUCUUUCCAAUAUACAUAUAUUUUUAUCAUGUUGCACUUAUUGGGUCUCAUUCAUGAAACGUGAGCCAAUCUGUGUGUAGAUUUGCACAUACAAGCUCACGCUGCUAAAACUCGGAUUCAUGAAUGGCGCGGGAAACUCAGAUUGGAACGUAAACGUGUGUAAGAUAAUGAAAGCCAACCCAUCGUAAAUUGACAGCGCUCCUGGUGAUCAUCAAUUAGCAUAAAUCCCCGCCCAUGAAUAGCAAAUAACCACCAUAUAAGGGCACAGACCUGUGCAUCUGGUCAACCUGCCCUGCAAUCAUGGCGCAAGGAAAAAAGGAUAGAGAGUGAAAAAAGAACUUCUCUGAGGCGGAGAUUGAAAUUAUUAUGGGCGAAGUGGAUUGUAGGAAGCACAUUUUAUUUUCUAUGGAUAUAAAAUGGUAAGUCUCUACAUAUAAAACACAUGCAUUUGUAUAGAAGACUUCAUUCUUACCGACAAGCCAGCCGUCUCUCACAGCUCCAAACUCCAAACGGGUGCCAACUGCACUAUUGCUCAGUAUGGAGCUGUCAUGCAUCCCACCGGGCCACCGAGACACAACGUUGAGCAACACACAGUUUGCAUCACAUGUCAGCUGCACAUUCAUGGAAGGAAAGUUUUUCUGGCUUAUGUAUGCAGAUGCAUCGUCAGAUAGAGCCUUGAUGCGUAUGUGUGUGCAGUCUAUGGCACCGAUGACAUUUGGCAUGUUGGCCAGCGCGCUAAACCCCCGCUUUACCUCGAUUUGCUGUUGUGCGCCAUAGGGGAAUUGAAUGUACUCUGGCCUUAAUUCAAUAAUGCCGGCAAGUACUGCCGGUAAAAUGCGUCUCAUUGAUGGCUGGGAGACUCCAGAUCUAUCUACCAUCUCCCGCUGGAAGGUCCCUGUGGCUAAGAAUCCCAGCUUGGAGAGCACCUGCAAAUGUACAGAUAUAGCGUGGCUUCUUUUAGUUUACCUUGUCAGAUUAGGCUCCAGAAUGUUGCAUAAAUGCAAGUGUUUUAUUAUCAUCAUAUUUUAUUUAUUGGUAUCAUUAA